This is an RNA transcript of Zea mays, 772 nucleotides long. It is a transcript of the gene named Carbamoyl-phosphate synthase pseudogene, with no coding region annotated. The transcript is spliced from 5 exons. Lineage: Eukaryota; Viridiplantae; Streptophyta; Magnoliopsida; Poales; Poaceae. The record is from RefSeq and is marked validated.
CAGCUGAGUUUCGGUCUCAUAUUGGUGGAGCUGCUGUAUCUGCAGCAAAGGCAGUUGGUUACUACAAUGCUGGAACAGUGGAGUUUAUUGUGGACACUCUUUCUGGAGAGUUCUACUUCAUGGAGAUGAAUACUCGACUCCCUCCUCCCCUCCUAGAUCCCGUGAUCUGCUACGAAGCUGCCAUCAACGCCCUCCUCCCCCUCUCCGCUCAGCUCCUCCUCGCUCUUUCGUAGAGGAGAGGAUUUCACACUGAUGCAAGCGCUCAUCAAGGCAGAUUUCUGGCUUCUGUUUUUCUCGUCUACCAGAUAAUCAAGAAAGAUUUUAGUAUUGCAAGAUUUGCUCAGAUGAUGCGGAGGUUAAAUUUCUUUGUGGCAUUCUGUUGCAUUGGGCAUAUAUAAUAGAGCAUGAUAUCAUUGUCAAGGAUCACUUGGUCUGUUUAACACAUACAAUGAGGUACCAUCAAUCAUGGCUAUUAAGAUUGUUUGCUGCUUCUUGUCUGUAAUUUUGAUAUGGGAAAUCCCUGGGGUAUUUGAAUUAUUGUGGACCCCUUUACAUUUCUGCUAGGCUAUAAAGAUCCAUCACCAUCCAAGGCACACUUACCCCUGCUACAUGAGUGGCAUUUCCGAUCUGGCCUCGAUCGAUACAUAUGGAUUAUUGGAAUGAUUUAUGCUUACUUCCAUCCUAAUGUUGAAAGAUGGAUGGAGAAGCUGGAAGAAUCUGAGACUAAGGUUAGAUUAUCAAUCAAGGGAACCAUUGUCACUCUUUCGUUGAC